This 466-nucleotide ribosomal RNA is filed under the name uncultured bacterium. RNAcentral describes it as "partial 16S ribosomal RNA". It matches the Rfam family "Bacterial small subunit ribosomal RNA", at positions 28 to 507 of the family's 1533-position model. The record is from RNAcentral.
GAUGAACGCUGGCGGCGUGCUUAACACAUGCAAGUCGAACGGUGAAAGAGAGCUUGCUCUCUGGAUCAGUGGCGAACGGGUGAGUAACACGUGAGCAAUCUGCCCCUGACUCUGGGAUAAGCGCUGGAAACGGCGUCUAAUACCGGAUACGAGCUGCGAAGGCAUCUUCAGCAGCUGGAAAGAACUUCGGUCAGGGAUGAGCUCGCGGCCUAUCAGCUAGUUGGUGAGGUAACGGCUCACCAAGGCGUCGACGGGUAGCCGGCCUGAGAGGGUGGCCGGCCACACUGGGACUGAGACACGGCCCAGACUCCUACGGGAGGCAGCAGUGGGGAAUAUUGCACAAUGGGCGAAAGCCUGAUGCAGCAACGCCGCGUGAGGGACGACGGCCUUCGGGUUGUAAACCUCUUUUAGCAGGGAAGAAGCGAAAGUGACGGUACCUGCAGAAAAAGCGCCGGCUAACUACGUG